AAUAGAUACCCCGGUAGUCCAUGCCGUAAACGUUGGGAACUAGAUGUAGGGCCUGUUCCACGGGUUCUGUGUCGUAGCUAACGCAUUAAGUUCCCCGCCUGGGGAGUACGGCCGCAAGGCUAAAACUCAAAGGAAUUGACGGGGGCCCGCACAAGCGGCGGAGCAUGCGGAUUAAUUCGAUGCAACGCGAAGAACCUUACCAAGGCUUGACAUAUAGAAGAACACUGCAGAGAUGCAGGACUCUUUGGACACUUCUAUACAGGUGGUGCAUGGUUGUCGUCAGCUCGUGUCGUGAGAUGUUCGGUUAAGUCCGGCAACGAGCGCAACCCUCGUCCUAUGUUGCCAGCACGUGAUGGUGGGAACUCAUGGGAUACUGCCGUGGUCAACACGGAGGAAGGUGGGGAUGACGUCAAAUCAUCAUGCCCCUUAUGUCUUGGGCUUCACGCAUGCUACAAUGGCCGGUACAAAGGGCUGCGAUACCGUAAGGUGGAGCGAAUCCCAAAAAGCCGGUCUCAGUUCGGAUUGGGGU
Molecule: ribosomal RNA, 529 nt
Filed under: uncultured bacterium
Lineage: Bacteria
Description: bacterial SSU rRNA
Rfam family: Bacterial small subunit ribosomal RNA
Source: RNAcentral